RNAcentral lists this ribosomal RNA (711 nucleotides) under Pseudomonadota bacterium. RNAcentral describes it as "bacterial SSU rRNA". It matches the Rfam family "Bacterial small subunit ribosomal RNA", at positions 28 to 729 of the family's 1533-position model. The record is from RNAcentral. Lineage: Bacteria; Pseudomonadati; Pseudomonadota.
AUUGAACGCUGGCGGAAUGCUUUACACAUGCAAGUCGAACGGCAGCACGGAGAGCUUGCUCUCUGGUGGCGAGUGGCGAACGGGUGAGUAAUAUAUCGGAACGUGUCCAAUAAUGGGGGAUAACGAGUCGAAAGAUUCGCUAAUACCGCAUACGCCCUACGGGGGAAAGCAGGGGAUCGUAAGACCUUGCGUUAAUGGAGCGGCCGAUAUCUGAUUAGCUUGUUGGUGAGGUAAAGGCUCACCAAGGCGACGAUCAGUAGCUGGUUUGAGAGAACGACCAGCCACACUGGAACUGAGACACGGUCCAGACUCCUACGGGAGGCAGCAGUGGGGAAUUUUGGACAAUGGGGGCAACCCUGAUCCAGCCAUUCCGCGUGAGUGAAGAAGGCCUUCGGGUUGUAAAGCUCUUUCGCGAGGGAAGAAAACUUAUGAUCGAAUAAAUCAUGAGGUUGACGGUACCUUGAUAAGAAGCACCGGCUAACUACGUGCCAGCAGCCGCGGUAAUACGUAGGGUGCGAGCGUUAAUCGGAAUUACUGGGCGUAAAGCGUGCGCAGGCGGUUUUGUAAGUCGGAUGUGAAAUCCCCGGGCUCAACCUGGGAACUGCGUUCGAAACUGCAAGGCUAGAGUGUGUCAGAGGGGGGUAGAAUUCCACGUGUAGCUAGUGAAAUGCGUAGAGAUGUGGAGGAAUACCAAUGGCGAAGGCAGCCCCC